CUUAACAUGGGGCGAGCUUUAAUUAUAAAAGGCGUUGUGUGGGUGUGCCGCAGUUAAUAGACAAAAGUCACACACAGACACACAGACACGCACACACACACACACACGCACACACGCGCGCACACAGACAGUCAGGCACCUAAACGGAGCCCAAAAAUAAAGAUGUGGGUCAACAACCACCAAAUGAAGUUGACCUACAUCAUGCUUUAAAAUGCACACACACACACACACACACACACAUACCCAUAUAUCACGACAUUAUGUAAGCAAUGAAUACGACGACAGCAGCGCAGUUUAACGGUAUUCAACGGCUGCUGCUACUGCUGAGAACGUGCAACUGCAGCGCCGGCGCAGAGCAAAAAACAGUUGGAUAAACUCCAAUUGGAGUUGUUGGUGGUGGUACAUCAAAUUGGGCAUGGGUAACAGCAUGUAAAAGAGCGAGAGAGACAGAGCGGAUGAAGAGAGCGGCUUAAGUAAACAGAGCGGCGCAUCCUGUGUAUGUGUGUGUGUGUGUCUUAUCAGAUGUAGUUCAUUUGCUUCUUUUAAACUUCCAACGUAAUUAUCGAUUUAAAAAAGUUUUAGGUUUUUAUCUGUUUCUCUCUUUUGCUUUUUUGGCGGGGGGUUGUUUGCUUUUCAUACAGAGUUCAAUGCAUGCCAAUUGGACUGAGUGUGUGUGUGUGUGUGUGUGGCUUGGAUUUAGGCUUAACUGUAGCUUAUUUUCAAGCGAAAGCUGCCUACAAAAAAAAGACUAAAUAAAUAAAAAUACUAAGUACCUCUCAUGAUCUUUUGUCUUUUAAUGCCCCAUAAAAGUAGAAUCCCAAUUUAGAGCAAAUCCAUUAAACAAAAGAGCACGUUCUUUUGUAUUCACAUGGAAAAAGCGCAUUGUACAAAGCGAACUGCAUACAAAAUGGGUUCAUUAACUUUUUGUUCAGCUGCUGUGCAAGAGAUGAGCGCGUGAGGCAAGUUUCCGCUCUGUGCACUUUGCAUACGACAAUCUCUCUGCACUUAACGAAACUAUCAACUUUUGCACGGAUCAUAUCCUCCUUCCUGUGCCACCUAAUGGUCGAUUGAGCAUUCAUUCCCAGUUUCGUCAAGUUCCCACAACUACCAUGAAGCUGAUAAUUCUGUCAUCUUAACGAGACUACCAACUCCUGCACUCAUCGAAUCUCCAUUUCCGUUUCCCUUUACACUCAACUCAUUUCCAGCCUGGUCAAGAUUUUGGUUCCCAUCAUCAGCUCAUGGCUAAUUAAACACCGUUCCGUAGCGUUUCACAAAAGUCUCUUUCAUCUUUUAUCUACUACGUUAAGAUUCCCAUCAGUGUGGAGAAACAGCUGUGACGUCACGCGUAGUCAUUGCACUGGCGAUCCGCAUUUCUCUUGCACUAAUUGCGUACUUAGUGCUCUCUUUAUCCGCAUACAUAUAUGUAUGU
This is a long non-coding RNA of Drosophila arizonae, 1429 nucleotides long. The record is from RefSeq and is a predicted model, not a curated record. Lineage: Eukaryota; Metazoa; Arthropoda; Insecta; Diptera; Drosophilidae.